RNAcentral lists this unclassified non-coding RNA (207 nucleotides) under fungal sp. Its description in RNAcentral is "partial internal transcribed spacer region". The stretch from base 1 to 46 matches the Rfam family "Eukaryotic small subunit ribosomal RNA", at positions 1786 to 1831 of the family's 1831-position model. Lineage: Eukaryota; Fungi. The record is from RNAcentral.
AAGUCGUAACAAGGUUUCCGUAGGUGAACCUGCGGAAGGAUCAUUACCACAUCCAAAAUCUUUUAUAAACCCACACAUGUGAAGUUAUGAUGAGGAACUUUUUAUUCUUCAUUUUGAACCCCUUUUGAACUUUUUAAAAGUAAUAAGCAAGACUACAACAAAUGAGAAAAGAGAAAACAACUUUUAACGGUGGAUCUCUUGGCUCGU